This is a non-coding RNA of Anas platyrhynchos (mallard), 4165 nucleotides long. The record is from RefSeq and is a predicted model, not a curated record. NCBI's taxonomy places the organism in Eukaryota, Metazoa, Chordata, Aves, Anseriformes, Anatidae.
AUUGUCUGACAGUAUAAAACAUAGGAAACAAUUGACUAAAUGAGAACAAAUCUGCAUAUUUAAAUGAUCAAGACAGACUAUGCAGGACUCACCACUGAACUGAGGGUGACAAAGCUCUGAUGUUUCAGAAACUAGCAGCUGAAGACAUCAUCGCAGUUUCUUAGGAGAAGGUCCUGAGCUGUGGAAAACUGAGAAUUUUCAGUUCUGCUGAUCUCUAUGUCGUCUGCCAUAUCUUGUCCUUGCCUAAGAGGCUUGCAGCAUGUUCCAGAGCACAUCUGAAUCCCAGAAUUCACUAUAAUUGGCAAGAAAACAAGCAGAACGUACCAAAAGUACCAUACCUGUACAAGCAGAGAGUUUGUCUGGUUCAAGAGGUGCCAGCACUGGAGAAUUCACUCUAGGAAGAUUUUCAUUGGAUAAAUUUUAUUUGGAAACAGGUUAUUAUGAUUAAAUAAUGGAUAAAUAUUUGCUCCUACUUACUCAAAUGCAUUAAUGUGUAAUCUGGCUUUAUUUAAUUCAUUUAUGUCAGAAAAUUGAUAAAUGGUAUUUUAGCUACUUUUGGAUGCCUGUGAGUGUAAAAUUUUGUCCCUUAUGAACUCUAAAUACAGUGGAACAUAAUUUUUCAUAUGAUUUCAAUGGAAUGAACAUUUACACCUCUAUAGCUUUGCAACAUUGUAAUAUUUAAUUAAAUGACUGUGGAGUUACAUGCAUUGUCUAUAAAAGCUGAACGUAAACUAGUAACAGAAAGCUACUGGCCCACUGGAUGCAUUUUCAUGUCUGAGGAGUACAUAAAAGGAUCACAGCUUUGCCAUAAUGCAUAUUAUACUUGAGUCUUAUAAGACAUCUGACUCAGCCCCCCAGGCCUAAAAGGAUUAAAUUUGGCUCUUUUUUUUUGUAGUACUUAUAGUACAUAAAAAAGUCUUUUUAAGUGUUGUAGCUAGCGGUAGUUCCCUGAUUCUGAACCUAGUUUUGAAUCCAGCCUACACAGUGCUCCAAAACAGACUAAUUUAUAAAUAUUUGCAUAAGGAACAGCAACAUUGAACACUCUCUACCUGGUCAGUACUGAAGUCAGGGAGAGAUGCUGCAACUCUUUUAGUCUCCCCAGAAAAUAAAGAAACUUGUUAUCUUCUACAUUUCUGAGUAAAUUUGUAGGAUUAUUGAACACUGAGGUGAUACCGAAGGUGCUCUCCUUUCUUCUGUCUUGCUCUCCACUUUUCUUUUUCUGUAUCUGCUAUCCCUUUGAAUUGGAAAUCAUAAAUGUAUUUUCCCUUUCAGGGUUGAUUGUAGUUUUUGAAAUGUAAGAGAAAAGCAGUAAUUGUUUCUGAGGUUGUAGACUAGCAGCUUUUCCAUAAUUCUGGUGAUAGUUGAGGACCAGACUUAAUGACUCUGUGCAGUUUCAUGAUCCCUUGGAUCUGUUUACUAGAGGUCCUAGAGGUCAUUAUUACAAUGACCUGUCCUCUUUUUAUUUUUUAUUUUUUUCCCCUCCAUCUAAUGCUGCCAAGCUUUUUUUUUUUUUUUUUUUUUUUCUCCCUUGUAGGAACCUGUCUAAAAUUUGUGUUAUGUCCCUUUCCCUAGCAGCUGGGACACAGCAAACAUAACCUUUUCUACCUCAUGCCCACUAACUUCAGUAGCCAGCUAAAGUUUCUGUGUAGAGGUGUCUUUUGUCAGUCCUAUUUUGUGUGGCUUGCAGUUGAGGAAGGAGAAAAUUUCCAAAGCAAAAUAAACUGAAGGAAGAUUACAACCACACAUCAUUAAAGUUGUCUUCUAUCUUCCCUGUGUAACAAUCUAUUAGAGUAGUUACUAAUAUCUUUCUCUAUACAGUGAAAGAUGGGGAAACAGUGACUUGUGCAGCUAACAGUGCUGCAGGUGUGUUAUUGCCAGCAGUGCAAAAGUUGAUCUUUGUUAAUACGGAAAAAAAUAAUAAUCAUCAACCUGAUUUUUACAGGAAAUUUGAACCUGUGAAUUUCCAUACAUCCUAAAUUAAUUCUGGAUUUCAUUUUAAAUCCUUCAUACCAUUACAGGAACAGACUCUACUUGCAGUUUCAAAAUUACAAAAGGACUAACUAUGCAGUAAACAACCUUGAUAUUUUCUCUCUCUCUCUCUCUGUACAACCUUCUAAUGACUGUCAUUGCUUUAGCUUCAAGAGGUUGUGUGAUCUAAUUAGGGCAAAUUGAAUAAGACUGCUUUUAUGCUAACGCGUGAGAAAGUUAAUUGAAAUCAAUCCAUGUUCAGUGAAAAUGCUAGAGACAUCACUGAUAAUUUAAAGCAAUUAAAAGAUGUUGUCCUGAAGCAAGGCAGAAACAUUAAGUCUAAGAGCCUGUUAAAAGAAAACUACCUAAAAUAUUUAAAUGAUAUUAUUCAGUUAAGAUGGACUGGGGAUAGCUGAAGCAAUUAGAAAUCAUAAAGCAUAAAAUCAGUCACAUGUAAUCUUCUUUGAGCUAGCUCAAGCCAUUUGUUUUUUGUAAAAUAAUAGAUCUUUUUAAAAAUCCCAUUUGUGACAUUUUGUGAACAAAGGUGUACUAAUGAUAUGAGGCGGUAGGCUUGCAAAUCUCCAGUUCUCAUUUAUGGGCCAUUGUGCUUUAAGAAAAUAGUAGGUAUAGAAUUUAAAUUCAAAUGUAUUUUCAAAUGUAUUUGGAUAUAUCUUUUUAUUACUUGUUCAUAGUACGCAAAACUUCAUAUUCAAUGGAUGUGAAUGUUAUAGCUUUUAUGAAAUUCCUAAACAAAACAGCAUAAACAAGAUAAGGGUUUUCACUUCUUAUGUCACCAUCUCAAUCAGUGUACCCAUGCAAAUUGCUCAGGAGAUCAGAAUUCAUAGCUUCACAAUUCUGCAACAUCUUUAUUUAGAAGUUUCUUCUACCAGAAGAAAUAAGAUAUAGGAUAAAGAAUAAAAUCCAAAAACACAUUUGGAGUAUCUGCAAAAGUUAAUCUACUUUUUAUUUAGCCCCUUGAGCAGACAUGAUGGACUUGAUUGUAUUGCCUGCCAGCUCUAGCAGGACUUGUGAUGUUCGCUGAGAAAGUUAACUGCAAUCACACAUGCUGGUAAUACUGAACAGACAUGAAAUUGUAUUAAAGAUUAGUUCUAUAAUAGAACCUAUACCAUAGAUGCAGGCUGAAGACAGAUAAAAUUAAUCUGCCAAAUACAAGUAGUUAUCUUUUAUGAUCUGUCACAGCUUGUACUUGCAUAUUUUUUUUAUAAAUAUUUAUCUUGACCAUUCUUAGCCAUGGUUAAACAUAUGGAGGUCCAAAACGACUGAUUCUGAGUCAAUAGCACAGCGGAUUAUUAUAUUUUUAAUUAAAACAAAAUAAGAUAAAAAGGAGGCCCAGCAAGACUAUAACUGUGAUCACAGCUUUCUUUACUUCUUGUAUCACCAAGGGAUCUUCAAAUAAGUAUUUAAGCUCACUUUUACUUGUUACAAGUGUGUUCCAUUCCCAGUCCCUGAUUAUCCAUCCCUGGUUCAGUUUUUUGUCCUGAUUCCUUAGUACGAUUUAUAGCAUGUCCAGUGGUACUGAUCAUCUGAACCAUGGGCUACAUGUCAUGUGAUGUGUUGUAGUUUUCCUCCCAUGGAGGGCAUGGUGCAUACUUGGCUUUCAUCUACACAUGCAGAUUAGGCAUGGCUAACACACAGCAGAGGUAACGGUGGAUGCUGGAAGCAUAGUGCUGGAUGCACUAUGGUCUUUUGCAUAGUGCACCUACAGGCAGUGUGGAAAGACCCCACACAUUCAUGUGUUUGGAUCCCUCAGCAUUGGAUGGGAACAUAACAUCUAAAAGAUUUUACAUUCUUGCUGUGAAAUACAGUCUUGGGGUAUAUAUCAGAUAAUUUCUAUUAAAUGUGUCAGCUGUGUUUGCAUUUGUAUUUCUUCUCUUCAUGUAUACAAUUGUUGGGCUGAAUUAAAUAAGGCCUGUAUUUCUACUGCUGGUACUACUGGUGAGCUGCUUUUUUUCCAUGAAGUGUUGGCUUCAUCCUGUAAUCUUGUGAAAGUUAAGAAACUUGAGUUGAAGUAUUUUUUUGCCCCUCCCCACCUUUAAUAGAGAGUAUAUUCUCAUUCUUUUAACUGCAGAAAAUAAGGUUAAACAAACAAACAAUUAGUCCCUGAAUGUUUGGUUAAUUCAGGAAUUAUGAGUCAUUAUUGAGACUAAGCAUCUGAUAUUUUAUGCCUUAAUUAUAA